Molecule: long non-coding RNA, 6717 nt
Filed under: Theobroma cacao (cacao)
Lineage: Eukaryota; Viridiplantae; Streptophyta; Magnoliopsida; Malvales; Malvaceae
Description: long non-coding RNA (TCAC_LNC000718)
Source: RNAcentral
GGGGAACUUGUUCACACUAACCUUCAUUAAUUGCAUAAAACAGUUUCACUCUACAUUCACCAUCACUGCAAGAGUUUAAGGCUGAUGAGGAGCAAAUGGUGGCAGUGGAGGCCAUUUUCCAAACUUAGGGUGGUCGAAAUGCUUUGGGGGGUGAGGAGGAAGCUUAGGAAGGGGAGGGCAUGGCUUCUUAGGGAAUGAAGGAAUGUUUGGAAGUGGAGGAAGUGGCUUCUUAUAAACUGGAACUGGAGGAGGAAGUGGUUUCGUAUAUUCCGGAACUGGAGGGGGUUUAUAGAUUGGAACUGGGGGAGGAAGUGGUUUCUUGUAGACCGGAACUGGAGGGGCUUUAUAUACUGGAGGCUUGUAAACUGGAACUGGGGGAGGAAGUGGCUUCUUGUAUACUGGAACCGGAGGAGGUUUAUAGACUGGGGGCUUGUAUUCUGGAACUGGAGGGGGAAGUGGCUUCUCGUAUACGGGAACUGGAGGAGGUUUAUAGACUGGGGGAGGAAGUGGUUUCUCGUAUACUGGAACCGGAGGAGGGUUAUAGACUGGGGGCUUGUAAACUGGAACUGGAGGGGGAAGUGGCUUCUCGUAUACUGGAACCGGAGGAGGUUUAUAGACUGGGGGCUUGUAAACUGGAACUGGGGGAGGAAGUGGUUUCUCGUAUACUGGAACCGGAGGAGGUUUAUAGACUGGGGGCUUGUAAACUGGAACUGGAGGGGGAAGUGGCUUCUCGUAUACUGGAACCGGAGGAGGUUUAUAGACUGGGGGCUUGUACACUGGAACUGGGGGAGGAAGUGGUUUCUCGUAUACUGGAACUGGAGGAGGUUUAUAGACUGGGGGCUUGUAUUCUGGAACUGGAGGGGGAAGUGGUUUCUCGUAUACUGGAACUGGGGGAGGAAGUGGCUUCUUGUAUACUGGAACUGGAGGAGGUUUAUAGACUGGAGGCUUGUAGACUGGAACUGGAGGGGGAAGUGGCUUCUUGUAUACUGGAACUGGAGGAAGUUUAUAAACGGGAGGCUUGUAAACUGGAACUGGAGGAGGAAGUGGUUUUUUGUAUAUCGGAACUGGUGGGGGUUUGUAUAUUGGGAUUGGUGGCGGGAGAGGCUUCUUGUAGAUUGGAGGGAAUAGUGGGUGGUGGAAGCUUUUCACUGGCGGAACUGGCAACUCGGGCAGUGGAGGGUGCUUAAAGUGAGGCCAUAAGAAGGCUGAGGCACAUGUUAUUGGUGAAAAUUUCAGCUUUCCUUUCAGCCCAAAGCUGUGUUUCUCAUCACUCGUGGACUUGAAGACUAUCUUGGAGGACUCCAGGCCUUCAUGGGCAGGGCAAGCUGCAGCUGAUACACUGUGAAGCUGCGCAUAGCAUUCUUCCUUCAGUUUGCCAUCUUUAACCAAGUCCUGAGGAAGAGAUACUUUGAAGUUCCCUGCUUUGUCAAGCUCGCCAGACCCUCGUGUUUUGAACUCUCCUUUCUCUGGCUUGCAGUCUAUGGUUACGCGAAGCCCUGCAAAGGAGAAAGAGACAAAACACAUAAGAUCAUUAAUCAUUAUUGCAAUCUGUGUUACAGGGACCACACUAUUCAAUGACCCUCAUGAACAAGCAGACCAAGAAAUUGAAAGCUUUAUGUACUACUGGUAUAGAUCUGGUCAAGGGAUAAAACAAAUCUUUCAUAGUACAAAAUAUUGUAGUCGCUGCGCCCUGACUGUACUUGUAACUUGUUUCUCUACGUGUAUUAAACCAAGCUCAAGCCGAUCCCACCUAGCAUAUGUAAUGCAUGGACAGCGUAGGAAGCACCGUUGAGAUUUGACUACUAUUUACUCUAAUUGUAUGUACCUGAAAAUGCCUGGCUUGUCUCGAAGUUAUUCUCUGCGCAGUCUGCACAUUCUCCAACCCCGACGACCUCCACCGUUUUACCAUCAGCAUUGCAGAAACUUGCUACAAAUAGCAAGAACGACACCAAGAAGCACACAAGUGCUCCUCCACGACCCGGGAGGAUCUGCAUUGGGAACCAAGAAGCUUUACAGCCCCCCCCAAAACAGCAAACGAUAUUAGGAAACAAAAUCAAAAGAAUAUUCAGCCUACGAGCUGAGAAGCAAACAAGCUUGCUACAAAGCCUGACUGAUCAGUUGCAUACCCAAGGCUUAUUAUAUAAUGAUGUUAAGGGAAGCAAACUCAAAGGCUCACCGACACCACACUUAAAGGCCUCACAUGAGGCUAGGGACCCUUUGAGAUGACUUGUGUCAUGGUUUGAAAAAGAAAGUAACGUGCCAUACUGGCUUCAUCGACCAAAUGACAUUAUCUUCAUUGAAUGAGCUCUCAACUGCACACAGCUAAAUCUUGCUGUGUUUUUCUCAUCCCUUUAAACCUACUUACUAACCUUCAUAAAUAAUUUGCUUACAGAUAAAUUUGGGUUGAAUUACAAAAAAUUAUGGUCCUGCAAUCAUAACAAAGCUGCACUAACACUAAUAUUACUCGUUUUUUUUCUUUUUGAUACCCACAUAAUUGAUGAGCCUGAAAGGAGAGAAAUCUGUGACAGAAGAGUUUGUAUAUUUGUGGAACUUAUCAGCUUCACGUGAAUCAACCACAAUGCCAACCAAUUUAAGUACUUUAAAGGUCAAAUAAGUUGAAUUGCUUUCUCAUUAUAUACUUAUCAUAAGCUCAUUUUUGUGAGAACCCCGUCACUAGUUUUCUCUAAUUAGACAGGGUGCAGUUCAGCCAUGGCUUCCAAAAAUUUCCAUCUUAUUGAGCAAAAGAAGAGACUCUACGAAUGUGUAAGUUUUCUUCUUUUUUUUUUUCUUUUUAUUCGACAUAACUAUAUGGGCCCAUGGCUUCCAUUGUAUACACAAUUGACCGGAUAUUGAGCACGUCAAGUGAGUCUUAAAUGGGGCUAGCAGCUAAUAAUCAUUUCGAUGGAUUCAAGAAAUUCCUGAAUUUUACCAUUACUAAUCGGAUUGAUACAAUCAUGGUGGAUCCUUUUUCUGCCAUGAAAAUAGUUUUAUGAAGCAUUGCCCAAAAGGGGCAAGGCCUAUAAAUGAUAGCUUUUGAAUAAUUCUGUGCUAAUUUACAGUUAAUCACCAUGUGCAUCUUGCAGAUAGGGUGAGCUGUGCGGAUUCAUUACUUGCUGCAUAUCUAGCUACUUACUUGGUAGACGAGUUUCUGCACUGAUUAACAUGCAUGCCGUUUGAAAAUAAAUCCAUCAUACUCAUACAUAAGCAUAAGCUUAACUUUUUCAACAUAAUUUAGUUCUUCAACACUUGUUUUUCAACAUUAUAGGUCUUUGUCUGAUGAAACACUUGAUGGGAUUAUCAUAGGUCUUUGUCUGAUGAAACACUUGAUGGGAUUAUCAUAUGCUAAUUAAGCAUAAAGAAAUUGAUGCAUCCAUGGAAUUAAGGCAUAAAGCUGUCCCCCAUAAUCUGAAAAAAAAAAGAUCAGGGUUUAAUUAAUGUCGAAAAUUAAGUUAGAUGUCACAAUACAACAGAAUCGUGGGGUCAAAAGCUACCUUCUCAAUUUCAACAAAGACACCAUAACGCACCUUAAUAUUUGGUGAGGGAGGGAUUGUGGAUGAUACCUCUCCAUCAUCAUCAAGCUAUAUGACAUGUGCAUUAAGUUCUAGGAAUGUAAAUGUUUUUGACAAGAGGCAGAGGCAGGAGCAGGCGGCCAUUAACAAAUAAUUGCUAGCUUUCACCAUCAAAGGAUACCGCAAAUUUAGGUGAUGAAGAAUUGAAAUGACUAUGAAUUAAAUUAUGCACUAGUAGCAGUAGUAGUAUUUAGGUUCACAAUUAUGGGUUGACGUUGGACCUCUCUGGGGGUUGCUAGCUACACGAAUUUCCAUUUUGGCCUGUAAUGGUUAUGCGGAACCCUACGAAAGAUUAGGGCCUUUGGCAGUGCUUGGGUACCCCUAGGACUCGACAAAAGGCGGAGGGAUUUUAGAAUGAUCCAAUUCGUACUGCUGGUUUUUUACUUUCGGCUGAUUUUUAAUGCUUUCCGUUGAUAGAGGCACGGCACCUUGCUACUUGGGUGCAGUAAUUUACUAAUUUUACAUUCCCUGACACGGGACUUUAAUGAUCACGAUCAGAUAUAUUAAAUUAGUACAUUCGUAUGCAUUGAAAGUAGCAGAGGCCGUGAGCAAGAGGGAAAUUCCAUGAUUGGAGCAGGAUAACAUUAUGUGAUCUAAAAAAAUUCCUCAGGUUUUAAAUAAAACGUAUCCUUCUGCCUCAUACUGGAGUUAGUUUUGCUUCAAAAAGGCCCAAUUUCAGUUUCAUCAUGCAAAAUAAAUGUCAAAAAAAAAAAUUUCUUUCACAUGCUACAACAGCGAGGUAUGUCUUUUCCUGGCCUAACUCUCAAACUACUUCUGCCCUCACUUAGAAUUUCCAAAUGCCUAGCAUACCGUCAUCUACUUCUUCUUCUUUGAUUUGGAAGCUGACUGAGUGUAAGCAGUUCCCUGAAAAUUAUGACAGCCAAAAACAGGAAAUUAUCAGGCAACAUUCCUCCAGAGACCGUUACUGAUUAAUGAAGUAUACAAGAAACUCAUAAUUCUAUAUUUAGGACAAAGGUCCAUAUCCCCGACAGUAUGCCCAUUGAAUAAACAGAUAUAAGUAGUCGGGGUGAAAGGAGUGAUAUGAAAAGCAAAGUUAACUGCAAUUGAAAAAUUAUGGGAAUUGAUAAUGAUGCAUAAGCCAUAACCUGAAGCCAUUCAUCCAAUGAGGCAUCAGUAGUCCCAGUUCCGACUUCCACCUUUGGGGCCCUCUUAGUUUUCUAGCAAAAAAAAUAAAGGCAAAUGAAUUAGGUUUAUUCCAUAAAAAAAAACAUAAACAUGUAUAUAGAUACAAGCAAUUCUCCCUCUGUCUCUCUCUCUCUCUCUCUCUUUAUAUGUGUACAUGCCACAGGUAAGUAACAUUGCCAGUUGAAGCUUUCUUCAAUGCAAGAACAAAAAUCACAAAUUUAUAAUAAUCCCAGCACAAAAGCUUGCUGACUAUCAUUCAUGCUAGAACGAUGUAGAUUUGCCACCAUGUAUACAUGCGUGCUUUUUUUGAGAGAUAAACAACAAUAUUUUUAUUAACAGAAAGCCUUAUUAGAUUGAAUCUUACAAUAACUAGUUUCAAACACGUCUUCGUGUCUCAUGCAAACUGUAUUGUCGUACAUAGUUACUGGAGUAAAUUAACAAUAAGAACUGCAAGGAGGUUUGGAAUACCUUGGAGAUACGCUGAAACUGACCAUGAAGCCAUAAACCAAGGAGAACAAGAAGUGCAAUCCCAAGGGUAACAAGAAAAACAGACUCAACACUGAGGAAACCACCAGCCUCAACAACUUCAAUGGUACCAUUAUAGAAUGUACUUUGGUAUGGGUGCUGGUCAAUAUCAUAGACAAUGGUACCCACGAGAUCAAAAGUUCCAGGCUGUGUGAAAGGUGUCUAGAUGUGUAAGCUUAACAGCAACACGUCAUUCUCACAAAAAGAAUUUAUUUACAGUUCUAAGGCAUAAAUCUCCCAGAGCAGUCAUUUACCUGUAAGUACUUGCUAACAGCAAAUAUAUAAGGGAAAGUAGCUUGAGCUGAGGCAGGUACAGUUGCAUUGUUGAAGGCCUGCAUUGAAACAUACAUUUUCAGUUAACACAAUCUACAAGCAAAUAUCACAAGGCAGUUUCAAUCCAACAACUUAGGCUGCAAAACUCCAAGACAAUGAGGUGCAUGAUCAACUUUGUGGCAACAAAGAAGCCCAAGAUCUUUUUCAAAUAAUGCAACAAGCAUUGAUAAUAAAGUAAGAAAAAAACUCAAACCUUAAACCACAGAAUAGUCAAAAGCCAGUGACACAGCAUUAUAACCGCACAGUGAGCAACUAGAGCAUAAGUGUCUAAACUGUGUUUCCACACUCAGUCUCAUAUCAUAAAAUCAUCGUACAGUCCACACUUAUCAGUUAAAGAUACAGAAGAAUCUACAUUAGCCGAAACUGUCUGCUAUUGUUUCUUAAACUGAGAUCUAACAUCUCAAUGCCAGCUCAACUUCCAUCCAUCAUAUUAAUCAGCAUUGGCUAGAAUUAUAGACUCCAAUAUAACUGUUAGAGCUGAUUAAUGUAGCUAAGCAGCUGCAAAGGGAACACAAACUAAUCUGUUGCAAUGCAUAAAACUCAUAUUAUUGGCCAUAUGUUUGACAAGGGAUAUUUAAAACAUUACAUAAAGAUGCCAUAUCAAAAAGAUAACAUUAAUUAUUCAAUGCCUUUAGACGUGUAGACAACAUCAGAUAACCAAGCAAAUAUGAAAGUAAUCUAGAAGAAGAAACACAAUAAAUGCUUAAUCUUAUUUAUAAAAACUAAAGCACUAUAUAUUCAGAUAUGCAAAAUUUUUUCAGUUUGAAAAUACUAGAAAUUAAUCAAAAUGAAAAGCAAACUAUAAUGAAUGGAUCAUGAUUGUGGGUGUUUGAAAAUUUUAACCAGCACAAUAUUUAUAAAACCUAUGAUUACCUGUACUGUAAGAUUUUGAACAAGCAAAUGAUGAUCAAAAGGAAGAUGAACACUGGCUUUGAUUGCAAUGACAUUCACAGUUGACUCCCCUGCAAUUUAAAGAAGUAAGUUAAGCAUAGGAGAGGAGGAAACCCUGUAUAGCUAACCAAAAAGAGGCAAGCAUUUAAGUGUAGCCAACAGAAGGCAGAUAAAUUAACCUAUUUCAACACCUAACAUCACAUUUCAUUGUAAAACAAGCCAGUAAUGUUGUGAAGAUGAAUUAAUUACCAAC